GAUGAACGCUGGCGGCGUGCCUAAUACAUGCAAGUCGAGCGAACGGACGAGAAGCUUGCUUCUCUGAUGUUAGCGGCGGACGGGUGAGUAACACGUGGAUAACCUACCUAUAAGACUGGGAUAACUUCGGGAAACCGGAGCUAAUACCGGAUAAUAUUUUGAACCGCAUUGUUCAAAAGUGAAAGACGGUCUUGCUGUCACUUAUAGAUGGAUCCGCGCUGCAUUAGCUAGUUGGUAAGGUAACGGCUUACCAAGGCAACGAUGCAUAGCCGACCUGAGAGGGUGGUCGGCCACACUGGAACGGAGACACGGUCCAGACUCCUACGGGAGGCAGCAGUAGGGAAUCUUCCGCAAUGGGCGAAAGCCUGACGGAGCGACGCCGCGUGAGUGAUGAAGGUCUUCGGAUCGUAAAAAUCUCUUAUUGGGGAAGAACAUCUGUGUAAGUAGCUGUGCACAUCUUGACGGUACCUAAUCAGAAAGCCACGGCUAACUACGUG
RNAcentral lists this ribosomal RNA (497 nucleotides) under uncultured bacterium. Its description in RNAcentral is "partial 16S ribosomal RNA". It matches the Rfam family "Bacterial small subunit ribosomal RNA", at positions 28 to 507 of the family's 1533-position model. The record is from RNAcentral.